Non-coding RNA from Mauremys mutica (yellowpond turtle), 435 nucleotides. The record is from the annotation of a RefSeq genome assembly. Lineage: Eukaryota; Metazoa; Chordata; Testudines; Geoemydidae.
CCAGAGAUGGGGAUGUGGUUAAUCUGGUGCAUGGCAGCCCUGUGCUUCUUGGGAGCAAGACACACAGAUGCUAAAAUCACCCAAACACCAAGCCUGGUACUGAAGAGAGGACAGACAGCCCAGCUGACAUGCAGACAAACUGAUAAUCAUAACUAUAUGUACUGGUAUCAGCAGCAGCAGGGGAAGGGUCUGCAGCUGAUCUAUUACUCUCUUGGUAAAGGCAACAAGGAAGACGGCGACAGUGACAUUAAAAAUGAUUUCACAGCCUAUCGACCAGAGCUCGAAGUCUUUGACUUGAACAUCACCUCUGUGAAGAUGGAGCACUCGGCUGUGUAUUUCUGUGCCAGCAGUUUAGACACAGCACUUCAGAGUCACCUCCUCCCUCUACAAAAACCUCCCCCCUCCAAGAGAGCUUCUCCUCCCAUCUCUACAUAA